Molecule: ribosomal RNA, 734 nt
Filed under: Staphylococcus aureus
Lineage: Bacteria; Bacillati; Bacillota; Bacilli; Caryophanales; Staphylococcaceae
Description: partial 23S ribosomal RNA
Rfam family: Bacterial large subunit ribosomal RNA
Source: RNAcentral
CCCGAAACCAGGUGAUCUACCCUUGGUCAGGUUGAAGUUCAGGUAACACUGAAUGGAGGACCGAACCGACUUACGUUGAAAAGUGAGCGGAUGAACUGAGGGUAGCGGAGAAAUUCCAAUCGAACCUGGAGAUAGCUGGUUCUCUCCGAAAUAGCUUUAGGGCUAGCCUCAAGUGAUGAUUAUUGGAGGUAGAGCACUGUUUGGACGAGGGGCCCCUCUCGGGUUACCGAAUUCAGACAAACUCCGAAUGCCAAUUAAUUUAACUUGGGAGUCAGAACAUGGGUGAUAAGGUCCGUGUUCGAAAGGGAAACAGCCCAGACCACCAGCUAAGGUCCCAAAAUAUAUGUUAAGUGGAAAAGGAUGUGGCGUUGCCCAGACAACUAGGAUGUUGGCUUAGAAGCAGCCAUCAUUUAAAGAGUGCGUAAUAGCUCACUAGUCGAGUGACACUGCGCCGAAAAUGUACCGGGGCUAAACAUAUUACCGAAGCUGUGGAUUGUCCUUUGGACAAUGGUAGGAGAGCGUUCUAAGGGCGUUGAAGCAUGAUCGUAAGGACAUGUGGAGCGCUUAGAAGUGAGAAUGCCGGUGUGAGUAGCGAAAGACGGGUGAGAAUCCCGUCCACCGAUUGACUAAGGUUUCCAGAGGAAGGCUCGUCCGCUCUGGGUUAGUCGGGUCCUAAGCUGAGGCCGACAGGCGUAGGCGAUGGAUAACAGGUUGAUAUUCCUGUACCACCUAUA